This 254-nucleotide ribosomal RNA is filed under the name uncultured bacterium. Its description in RNAcentral is "partial 16S ribosomal RNA". It matches the Rfam family "Bacterial small subunit ribosomal RNA", at positions 524 to 776 of the family's 1533-position model. The record is from RNAcentral.
UACGUAGGGUGCAAGCGUUGUCCGGAAUUAUUGGGCGUAAAGAGCUCGUAGGCGGUCUGUCGCGUCGAAUGUGAAAACCCGGGGCUCAACCCCGGGCCUGCAUUCGAUACGGGCAGACUAGAGUUCGGUAGGGGAGUCUGGAAUUCCUGGUGUAGCGGUGAAAUGACGCAGAUAUCAGGAGGAACACCGGUGGCGAAGGCGGGACUCUGGGCCGAUACUGACGCUGAGGAGCGAAAGCGUGGGGAGCGAACAGG